AUACGGAAGGCAGUAGGGAAUAUUGGACAAUGGGCGCAAGCCUGAUCCAGCCAUCCCGCGUGAAGGAUUAAGGCCCUCUGGGUUGUAAACUUCUUUUUUGGGGGAAUAAAAACCGGAAUUCAUUCUGGCUUGAAGGUACCCCAAGAAUAAGCACCGGCUAACUCCGUGCCAGCAGCCGCGGUAAUACGGAGGGUGCAAGCGUUAUCCGGAUUCACUGGGUUUAAAGGGUGCGUAGGUGGCUUUGUAAGUCAGUGGUGAAAUCUCGGAGCUUAACUCCGAAACUGCCAUUGAUACUGCUUAGCUUGAAUCAAGUAGAGGUGGAUGGAAUAUUACAUGUAGCGGUGAAAUGCUUAGAUAUGUAAUAGAACACCGAUUGCGAAGGCAGUUCACUAUGCUUGUAUUGACACUGAGGCACGAAAGCGUGGGGAUCAAACAGGAUUAGAUACCCCCGU
RNAcentral lists this ribosomal RNA (452 nucleotides) under uncultured bacterium. RNAcentral describes it as "bacterial SSU rRNA". It matches the Rfam family "Bacterial small subunit ribosomal RNA", at positions 339 to 791 of the family's 1533-position model. The record is from RNAcentral.